UUCCACAUUCUCCCUUCAGUAGUAGGAGUCAAGUGAGGAAAUGGUAUAAUUCACAUGCAACUUGUAUGACACUUUGCUCUUUGUGUGGCUUUCAGAUAUGCACAGGUCUUCUUUUGCCUUCACGUGUAUGUAUUUGAACAUGCCUAUCAGAAACUUUAAUAAAAGAAUUGGCUUAGAGGGGCUUUUAAAACAUUAUUUUAGAAGAGUGUAGAAGCCAUUUAGUUGGUUCUUACUUUGUGCUAUUACACCCUGCCAGCAAACCAUUUCUUCUCACAUAAUUUUAUGAUUCCCCGUAGGAGUCUGUGCAAUGGGAAACCUGUUCUCCACUGGAAGUAACAUCCAUUCAUCUUCUCUGCACUAUUCAAGAAAAGAGUGUCUACAAAAUGAAGUGGACGUCACUCAGUUGCUGCAGGGAGUCCAUAUGGCACACAGCUGGAUUCACAGCACAACCACUGCACCCAACCACUAAUCUGCACUAAGGGAACAUGAGAUUCUGUAACUCCAGAGAUGUGUACAGCUGGUCGUCUCCAUGAAAGAAUUGCUUGCUUGAAGUGACACAAUGGUGACCCCAAUAUGUCUCAGAUCAGUCAGUUGUAUAGAUUGCCAAAGGGCUCUGAGAAUUUUCUUGGGCUACACAUUGCAGCAGCUCUGGAACUCUUGGCACUGGAUUUUUCUGGUAGGUAUAGACGUCAGCAACUAUUUUUGCUAACAGUUGCAUCAUGUAGAAAAUGAUUUGCAUAUUGUAAAAUGAUAUAUGAUAGACAUCUUGCUGUUGGGUAGACAAAUAGUGGGUAGAUUUAAGUGAUAGAUUCUGCCCAAAAUGUUGCUCUUAUUGCUCUGUUUCUCUUCUUCAGAGAAGUCAAUUUCUGACCUCCUUCCCAAUACUGAAUUUCAGUUUCAUCACUAAUCAUAAUUCUCAUUAACAGGUCUGAAAAUCACACAAUAAAUUAUUCGCAGCUUCUUCAAAUUGCACUUGCCAUUCUUAUGAGGUUUUCUGACAUCUAAGUAUGAU
This 1012-nucleotide long non-coding RNA is filed under the name Anolis carolinensis (green anole). RNAcentral describes it as "lncRNA (ENSACAG00000039828.1)". Lineage: Eukaryota; Metazoa; Chordata; Lepidosauria; Squamata; Anolidae. The record is from RNAcentral.